Drosophila sulfurigaster albostrigata is the source of this 808-nucleotide long non-coding RNA. RefSeq lists it as uncharacterized. NCBI's taxonomy places the organism in Eukaryota, Metazoa, Arthropoda, Insecta, Diptera, Drosophilidae. The record is from RefSeq and is a predicted model, not a curated record. The transcript has 3 exons.
UUUUAUUUAAUUUUGUUUUUCAACACUUUAAUGAAUUGCUUUACACCUAAUUCAUAAAUUUAUUGAUUUCUAUUCUUUAAUGAAUGUCAUACCGAAAUUGCUAAGUAUUUCAACACUGUUUAAAAAUGAUUUCCAUAAAAUAUUAACAUUGUUUGCGAUCAAAUCUUAAUAGCUUUGCCCUGUAAACAUCUCAGUCUAGCUGUUACCAUUUCGAUUGUGUGUUGAUAGAUCCGUCAGAGUGAGGACAAACAGUUUUAUAUAUUCGAGCUUGGGAAACAUACCUUUUCCACAAAAGCCGCAGUAUUCGCUCUUACGGGAGCCCGUUGUGUGCGUUGCCUCAUGACACUUGAGAUGGCGUUGAUUGAUGAACAGUCUGUCGCAGCCGCUGUGUCGACAUCUCAGCUGCCGCUCGGGCUUGUGCCAAUUCAUGUGGUAAUGCAAACUUUUACGGGUGAAGAAACGCUUCUCGCACAUGCUGCACUCGAAAUCCGUCUCCGAGUGAUAUUUCUCAAUGUGAUGGCGUAGAUUAUGACGGUCGCCGUAUUUUUUGCCGCACACCUCGCAGCCAUAAUGCUUCACAACAUGGCUGCUCUUCAUGUGCACCGUACGCGAUGCGGCGUCUUGGAAACAUUCCGUGCAUUCCGGACAAUUGUAUGGCUGAUCCGGAUCAUGGGCGCUACUAAUGUGCUCUAAGAGCAAAUGUUGCAGUUCGUAGCUCUCUUCAGUUAACAAACUCCAUGCGAAUUUGCGCCAUUUCACUCUGCCAACGGGCUGGAUGGAACAAGUCCAGCCAAUAGUUGUUGUUGCC